UAGGGAAUCUUCCGCAAUGGACGAAAGUCUGACGGAGCAACGCCGCGUGAGUGAUGAAGGUUUUCGGAUCGUAAAGCUCUGUUGUUAGGGAAGAACAAGUACCGUUCGAAUAGGGCGGUGCCUUGACGGUACCUAACCAGAAAGCCACGGCUAACUACGUGCCAGCAGCCGCGGUAAUACGUAGGUGGCAAGCGUUGUCCGGAAUUAUUGGGCGUAAAGCGCGCGCAGGUGGUUCCUUAAGUCUGAUGUGAAAGCCCACGGCUCAACCGUGGAGGGUCAUUGGAAACUGGGGAACUUGAGUGCAGAAGAGGAAAGUGGAAUUCCAAGUGUAGCGGUGAAAUGCGUAGAUAUUUGGAGGAACACCAGUGGCGAAGGCGACUUUCUGGUCUGUAACUGACACUGAGGCGCGAAAGCGUGGGGAGCAAACAGGAUUAGAUACCCUGGUAGUCCACGCCGUAAACGAUGAGUGCU
This 471-nucleotide ribosomal RNA is filed under the name uncultured Bacillota bacterium. RNAcentral's name for it is "bacterial SSU rRNA". It matches the Rfam family "Bacterial small subunit ribosomal RNA", at positions 355 to 817 of the family's 1533-position model. The record is from RNAcentral. Lineage: Bacteria; Bacillati; Bacillota.